This 921-nucleotide ribosomal RNA is filed under the name Triticum aestivum (bread wheat). Its description in RNAcentral is "partial small subunit ribosomal RNA". Lineage: Eukaryota; Viridiplantae; Streptophyta; Magnoliopsida; Poales; Poaceae. The record is from RNAcentral.
AUGAAUAUACUGUUCUGGAACUGCCGGGGGGGGGGGAACCGCCGGACAGUUCGUGAGGUCUUAGCCCUCUCAAAAGCCAACUUCCCCAAACUAGUCUUCCUCUAUGAGACUAGACAGGAUUCUGUUAAGGUGGAAAAGCUGCGUUGGAGACUCGGGUUGAAAGGCUUUCAUGGUGUGAGUAGCGAUGGAAGAAGUGGUGGUUUGGCUCUGUUCUGGGAUGAGUCGUUGACAGUGAUGGUGCUAGAUUCUUGCAGCCGUUUUAUUGACGUCAAGGUAGUAGAUGGCGGUUCGGGCACUUCUUGGCGAGGAACUUUUAUUUAUGGGGAGCCACGUGUUGAGAAUCGUCAUCGGAUGUGGGAGCAACUGUGUGGGCUUAGGGCCAGCUCACGGGAGCCAUGGGUGGUGUGCGGAGAUUUUAAUGAGGCACUUUGGAAACAUGAGCACCUCUCUGGUACACCGCGGUCUGAAGCUCAAAUGGUGGCGUUUAAAGAUUGCUUGGAAAGAUGCGGGUUGGAAGACCUGGGCUUUUCAGGUUAUCCUUUCACCUACAACAAUGGUCAGCAGGCGGAUCGGAAUGUUCAGGUCCAACUGGACCGUGCUUGCGCUGAUGAAUCAUGGCGGGACUCUUUCCCCGCCGCGAAGGUGACCCAUCUGGCCACUCCCUGUUCGGAUCACUGCCCCAUCUUGAUCCAGAUGGAGGGUCAGCAAGAUGAGAGACGUCGGGUACCCACUCUACGCUAUGAGAUAAUGUGGGAACGGGACCAUACUUUACCUGACAUGCUAGCCAGGGCGUGGAACAGACACAAACAACCUGGCAGCUUGGGUUUGGUAGCAAAAUCCCUGAAGGAGGUGCUUAAGGAUUUAAAAGAGUGGAGUAAAAUUAAGUUUGGUAACAUGUUGAAGGAGAUCGAGAAGCUGUGA